UGGCUAGGCUGUCCUCUCCUCUCUGGCC
RNAcentral lists this non-coding RNA (28 nucleotides) under Mus musculus (house mouse). The record is from RNAcentral. Lineage: Eukaryota; Metazoa; Chordata; Mammalia; Rodentia; Muridae.